CAGGAAACUGCAUCUCAGGGUGGUGUGUUUUCAUACUUUUCAUACUUUGAUAAUAAAUUCUUGAAAUUUUAAUGUGACGCAAUCAAGAAGUCAGAAGGAAGUAAUUUUCAAAUGAGCCAAGGCCGAAAGAUUUAUGGAUCUCUUCUCCCCAAGACUGAGUCACCCUUACAAACCUGGAAUGUGGGAGGGAGGCACGGAGCAUCUCCACUUUCCCAGGAUCUCUUCUCCCCAAGACUGAGUCACCCUUACAAACCUGGAAUGUGGGAGGGAGGCACGGAGCAUCUCCACUUUCCCAGGUAAGACAAUAGACAGUAGGUGCAGGGGUAGGCCAUUCGGCCCUUCUAGCCAGCACCACCAUUCACUGUGAUCAUGGCUGAUCAUACACAAUCAGUACCCCGUUCCUGCCCUCUCCCCAUAUCCCUUGACCCCGCUACCUAUAAGAGCUCUAUCUAACUCUCUCUUCAAUGCAUCCAGAGACUUGGCCUCCACUGCCUUCUGGGGCAGAGCAUUCCACAUAUCCACCACUCUCUGGGUGAAAAAGUUUUUCCGCAUCUCUGUUCUACAUGGCCUACCCCUUAUUUUUAAACUGUGGCCUCUAGUUCUGGACUCACCCAUCAGCGGGAACAUGCUUCCUGCCUCCAGCGUGUCCAAUCCCUUAAUAAUCUUAUAUGUUUCAAUCAGAUUCCCUCUCAUCCUUCUAAAUUUCAGUGUAGACAAGCCCAGUCGCUCCAAUCUUUCAACAUAUGACAGUCCUGCCAUUCCGGGAAUUAACCUUGUGAACCUACGCUGCACUCCCUCAAUAGCAAGAAUGUCCUUCCUCAAAUUUGGAGACCAAAACUGCACACAAUACUCCAGGUGGGGUCUCACCAGGGCCCUGUACAGCUGCAGAAGGACCUCUUUACUCCUAUACUCAAUUCCCCUUGUUACAAAAGCCAGUAUGCCAUUAGCUUUCUUCACUGCCUGCUGUACCUGCAUGCUUGCUUUCAUUGACUGAUGUACAAGAACACCUAGAUCUCGUUGUACUUCCCCUUUUCCUAACUUGACUCCAUUUAGAUAGUAAUCUGCCUUCCUGUUCUUGCCACCAGUGGAUAACCUCACAUUUAUCCACAUUAAACUGCAUCUGCCAUACAUUUUUCCACUCACCCAACCUGUCCAAGUCACCCUGCAUUCUCAUAACAUCCUCCUGACAUUUCACACUGCCACCCAGCUUUUUCAGCAAAUUUGCUAAUGUUGCUUUUAAUCCUUCAUCUAAAUCAUUAAUUUAUAUUGUAAACAGCUGCAGUCCCAGCACUGAACCUUGCGGUACCCACUGGUCACAGCCUGCCAUUCCAAAAGGGACCCGUUAAUCGCUACUCUUUGUUUUUGAUCUUGAUUGCCAAUCAACUGCUAUUCAAUUCUUGAUUGCACUAUCCAACUGCCAAAACUGCCAGAAUCUCUCGAGCCAAAGCCGGGCACUUUCCACACCAGGCACCUCCCACGACCAGGUCACUCCACAACAGCUCUCCCUCCUAAUAAUAUGUCCAAUAGUCCAUCCUCUCGGCCCUAUUCUAACAACUUUCUACAGGAACUGCACUGUGUGGGAUGGAAGCUGCUAAGCUUCCUUGGGGUCUGCACAACUCCACAGGGAAUAGUAAAGAUCACAAAAUGUUUGAGAUCUGGGUUUGAGAAUCCCCAUCACCCAUCCGGCAAUCUCUCUGACUGACCACCCACCCCACAACCUCUCUGACCCACCACCCACCCCACAAUCUAACUGACCCACCACCCAUCCCACAAUCUCUCUCUGACCCACCACCCACCCCACAAUCUCUCUGACCCACCAGCCAUCCCACAAUCUCUCUGUGACCCACCACCCAUCCCAGAAUCUCUCUGUAACCAACCAACCACUCCACAAUCUCUCUGACCCACCACCCAUCCUGCAAUCUCUCUGACCCACCACACAUCCCACAAUCUCUCUCUGACCCACCACCCAUCCCACAAUCUCUAUGACCCACGACCCAUCCCAAAAUCUCUCUGACCCACCACACAUCCCACAAUCUCUAUGACCCACGACCCAUCCCACAAUCUCUAUGACCCACGACCCAUCCCACAAUCUCUCUCUGACCCACCACCCACCCCACAAUCUCUCUGUCCCACCACCCAUCCCACAAUCUCUCUCUGACCCACCACCCAUCCCACAAUCUCUCUGUAACCCACCACCCAUCCCAGAAUCUCUCUCUGACCCACCACCCAUCCCACAAUCUCUCUCUGACCCACCACCCAUCCCACAAUCUCUCUGACCCACCACCCAUCCCACAAUCUGACCCUCCAGCCAUCCCAGAAUCUCUCUGUAACCAACCACCCACCCCACAUUCUCUCUGACCCACCACCCAUCCCAUAAUCUCUCUGACCCACCAUCCACCCCACAAUCUCUCUUUUACCCACCACCCAUCCCACAAUCUCUCUCUGACUCACCACCCAUCCCACAAUCUCUCUGACCCUCCAGCCAUCCCAGAAUCUCUCUGUAACCAACCACCCACCCCACAUUCUUUCUGACCCACCACCCAUCCCACAAUCUCUCUGUAACCCACCACCCAUCCCACAAUCUCUCUGACCCUCCACCCAUCCCACAAUCUCUAACCCUCCACCCAUCCCACAAUCUCUGACCCUCCACCCAUCCCACAAUCUGACCCUCCAGCCAUCCCAGAAUCUCUCUGUAACCAACCACUCACCCCACAUUCUCUCUGACCCACCACCCAUCCCAUAAUCUCUCUGACCCACCAUCCACCCCACAAUCUCUCUUUUACCCACCACCCAUCCCACAAUCACUCUCUGACUCACCACCCAUCCCACAAUCUCUCUGACCCUCCAGCCAUCCCAGAAUCUCUCUGUAACCAACCACCCACCCCACAUUCUCUCUGACCCACCACCCAUCCCACAAUCUCUCUGUAACCCACCAACCACCCCACAAUCUCUCUGACCUACCACCCAUCCCACAAUCUCUCUGUAACCCACCACCCAUCCCACAAUCUCUCUGACCCACCUCCCAUCCACAAUCUCUCUGUAACCCACCACCCAUCCCACAAUCUCUCUGUAACCCACCACCCAUCCCACAAUCUCUCUGACCCACCACCCAUCCCACAAUCUCUAUGACCCACGACCCAUCCCACAAUCUCUAUGACCCACGACCCAUCCCACAAUCUCUGACCCUCCAACUAUCCCAGAAUCUCUCUGCAACCAACCACCCACCCCACAUUCUCACUGACCCACCAUCCAUCCCACAAUCUCUCUCUGACCCACUACCCAUCCCACAAUAUCUCUGACCCACCACCCAUCCCACAAUCUCUGACCCACCACCCAUCCCACAAUCUCUCUGUAACCAACCACCCACCCCACAUUCUCUCUGACCCACCACCCACCUCACAAUCUCUCUGACCUACCACCCAUCCCACAAUGUCUCUGACCCACCACCCAUCCCACAAUCUCUCUUUUACCCACCACCCAUCCCACAAUCUCUCUCUGACUCACCACCCAUCCCACAAUCUCUCUGACCCUCCAGCCAUCCCAGAAUCUCUCUGUAACCAACCACCCACCCCACAUUCUCUCUGAGCCACCACCCAUCCCACAAUCUCUCUGUAACCCACCACCCACCCCACAAUCUCUCUGACCUACCACCCAUCCCACAAUCUCUCUGUAACCCACCACCCAUCCCACAAUCUCUCUGACCCACCACCCAUCCCACAAUCUCUGACCCACCACCCAUCCCACAAUCUCUCUGUAACCAACCACCCACCCCACAUUCUCUCUGACCCACCACCCACCUCACAAUCUCUCUGACCUACCACCCAUCCCACAAUGUCUCUGACCCACCACCCAUCCCACAAUCUCUCUGACCCACCACCCACCCCACAAUCUCUCUUUUACCCACCACCCAUCCCAUAAUCUCUCUGACCCACCACCCACCCCACAAUCUCUCUUUUACCCACCACUCAUCGCACAAUCUCUCUAACCCACCACCCAUCCCACAAUCUCUCUCUGACUCACCACCAAUCCCACAAUCUCUCUGUAACCCACCACCCAUCCCACGCUCUGACCCACCACCCAUCCCACAAUCUCUCUUUUACCCACCACCCAUCCCACAAUCUCUCUCUGACUCACCACCCAUCCCACAAUCUCUCUGACCCUCCAGCCAUCCCAGAAUCUCUCUGUAACCAACCACCCACCCCACAUUCUCUCUGACCCACCACCCAUCCCACAAUCUCUCUGUAACCCACCACCCACCCCACAAUCUCUCUGACCUACCACCCAUCCCACAAUCUCUCUGUAACCCACCACCCAUCCCACAAUCUCUCUGACCCACCACCCAUCCCACAAUCUCUGACCCACCACCCAUCCCACAAUCUCUCUGUAACCAACCACCCACCCCACAUUCUCUCUGACCCACCACCCACCUCACAAUCUCUCUGACCUACCACCCAUCCCACAAUGUCUCUGACCCACCACCCAUCCCACAAUCUCUCUGACCCACCACCCACCCCACAAUCUCUCUUUUACCCACCACCCAUCCCAUAAUCUCUCUGACCCACCACCCACCCCACAAUCUCUCUUUUACCCACCACUCAUCGCACAAUCUCUCUAACCCACCACCCAUCCCACAAUCUCUCUCUGACUCACCACCAAUCCCACAAUCUCUCUGUAACCCACCACCCAUCCCACAAUCUCGCUCUGACCCACCACCCAUCCCACAAUCUCUCUGUAACCCACCACUCAUCCCACAAUCUCUCUAACCCACCACCCAUCCCACAAUCUCUCUCUGACUCACCACCAAUCCCACAAUCUCUCUGUAACCCACCACCCCCAUCCCACAAUCUCUCUAACCCACCACCCAUCCCACAAUCUCUCUCUGACCCAUCACCCAUCCCACAAUCUCUAUGACCCAUCACCCAUCCCACAAUCUCGCUCUGACCCAUCACCCAUCCCACAAUCUCUCUCUGACCCACCACCCACCCCACAAUCUCUCUGUAACCCACCACCCAUCCCACAAUCUCUCUCUGACCCACCCCCCACCCCACAAUCUCUCUGACCCUCCACCCAUCCCAGAAUCUCUCUGUAACCAACCACCCACCCCACAUUCUCUCUGACCCACCACCCAUCCCACAAUCUCUAUGACCCAUGACCCAUCCCACAAUCUCUGACCCUCCAACUAUCCCAGAAUCUCUCUGACUCACCACCCAUCCCGCAAUCUCUCUUACCCACCACCCAUCCCACAAUCUCUCUCUGACCCACCACCCAUCCCACAAUUUCUCUCUGACCCACCACCCAUCCCACAAUCUCUCUGUUUCCCACCACCCAUCCCACAAUCUCCCUGUAACCCACCACCCAUCCCACAAUCUCUAUGACCCAUGACCCAUCCCACAAUCUCUGACCCUCCAACUAUCCCAGAAUCUCUCUGACCCACCUCCCAUCCCACAAUCUCUCUCUGACCCAUCACCCAGCCCACAAUCACUCUUACCUACCACCCAUCCCACAAUCUCUCUCUGACCCACCACCCAUCCCACAAUCUCUGACCCUCCAACUAUCCCAGAAUCUGUCUGUAACCAACCACCCACCCCACAUUCUCUCUGACCCACCCCCCACCCCACAA
Hypanus sabinus (Atlantic stingray) is the source of this 5620-nucleotide long non-coding RNA. RefSeq lists it as uncharacterized. The transcript is spliced from 3 exons. The record is from RefSeq and is a predicted model, not a curated record. Lineage: Eukaryota; Metazoa; Chordata; Chondrichthyes; Myliobatiformes; Dasyatidae.